This is a long non-coding RNA of Pongo pygmaeus (Bornean orangutan), 695 nucleotides long. RefSeq lists it as uncharacterized. Lineage: Eukaryota; Metazoa; Chordata; Mammalia; Primates; Hominidae. The record is from RefSeq and is a predicted model, not a curated record. The transcript has 4 exons.
ACUGCAGUCUUGACCUUCCAGGCUCAGGUGAUUCUGUCACCUCAGCCUCCCAAGUAGCUGGGACUACAGGUGUGCGUCACCAUGCCUCGUUAAUUUUUGUAUUUUUCAUAGAGACAAGACCUCACCAUGUUGCCCUGGCUGGUCUUGGAUUUGUGGGCUCAAACAAUCUGUCCGCCUCAACCUCUCAAAGUGCUGGGAUUACAGACGUCUCCUGAAAGCUGAGCAUUUGGUAUCUCAAAGCCUCUUACCAGUUUGGAGAGAUAUGGAUCUUCUAAAAUUAAUAAGCUCCUUAAUAUCGACACUGUUUAUCAACACAAAGGACCAAUUUAGGAAGAUUAUAAAAACUGAAGUUUCCGGAACAAUAAAUGGGAGAAUUAAUCAAGCAUUUCAAACAUACUGAUUAAAAAAGAAAAAAUUAAAAACUCAGCUUUAACACUAAGAACUGAGGAAGAAUACCAAAUAGGAAGAAAUAAAGAUGUGGAAACACAGUAACACAAAAUAUUACUGGUUCUAAAUCAAGGAUGUAUCCCUGAAUCUGGGGAGCUCUCUAUCAAAAUAUACAUGCUGGAACCCUACCAAAGGAAUAAUAAAUCUGGAAUGAGGCCCUGACUGUCUAAUUAGGAAAAGACUCCUUCCUGGAAUUCUGCACAUCUCCCUACACCUUAGUGACGGUUAAAUAAAUAAUUAUUAAGCUU